RNAcentral lists this long non-coding RNA (478 nucleotides) under Ananas comosus (pineapple). RNAcentral's name for it is "long non-coding RNA (ACOM_LNC001025)". The record is from RNAcentral. Lineage: Eukaryota; Viridiplantae; Streptophyta; Magnoliopsida; Poales; Bromeliaceae.
UCGAGUCUAGUGUAGUAAACAUGACAUGAAUUUAGGGAUGGUAGAAGUCCCGGUAUUGAUUAUGCAUUGUGAUUGUGCAGCAGAGGCACCAUGACCCUAGUAGAUAGGGUAUCCUCUUGUGAGGAUUGGAUCAUACUCACUAGUCUGUUUCGCUUGUCAGUGGUCGCUCCACCGAAGUAGUGGUCUCUGGAGUACUUUACAUAGGGGCAGACGUAGUUGUCCCGCAGAAGAUCUCGGUGUGCGAGUGCAGCUUCUCCUCAACUAUGAGAUUGAGAAUGAGUCGAGGGCUUAACCUACGGGUUAGCCAGGUAAAUUGGGUAAUGAACAUGAAUGGCAUAGUAGAAUUGCAUUCUUACCUUGAGUGGACAUAGUGUAUGUUGUAGAUUGCAUUGCUAUGUUAAAUAUAAUUGCUCUUGACAUCAUACUAGCAUGAUAGUAUACUGUUGCAUGAUGAUUAUUUCAUACAUGGCAUCGCAUU